AAUGAAUAAGUUAGUAGGCCAAAUUUGUCAACCAGUUACGCCUCUUGCAAACCACUUUCAAACUAGGAAAAUUGUGGGACAUAAUCCCCCAGUCCUAAAUCCAAGUCAAGGGGUAGAACCACAUUUCGGUCCCUCUACUUCAAACCAAGGGGAUGGUGUAACGCCAAAUCAGAAUAAUGGUAGUGGUACGCCUAACUUGGGGGGUAAUCCAAAUGUAAGAGAUAAUGUCCUAAAUAACGGGCAGAAUACCCCACGUGUUAAU
Molecule: long non-coding RNA, 262 nt
Filed under: Olea europaea (common olive)
Lineage: Eukaryota; Viridiplantae; Streptophyta; Magnoliopsida; Lamiales; Oleaceae
Description: long non-coding RNA (OEUR_LNC010699)
Source: RNAcentral